CUGCCCAGUGUUCAGACUACCUGUUCAGCCAAAGUGCUGCGAACAGUAGUCUGUACAUUGGUCAGGC
This is a microRNA precursor of Eptatretus burgeri (inshore hagfish), 67 nucleotides long. The record is from Ensembl. NCBI's taxonomy places the organism in Eukaryota, Metazoa, Chordata, Myxini, Myxiniformes, Myxinidae.